ACGGGUGAGUAACGCGUGGAUAUCUGCCUUUUGGUUCGGAAUAACCCCGGGAAACUGGGGCUAAUACCGGAUGGUUCCUUCGGGAUAAAGAUUUAUCGCCAAAAGAUGAGUCCGCGUACGAUUAGCUAGUUGGUGAGGUAAUGGCUCACCAAGGCGACGAUCGUUAGCUGGUCUGAGAGGACGAUCAGCCACACUGGGACUGAGACACGGCCCAGACUCCUACGGGAGGCAGCAGUGGGGAAUAUUGGACAAUGGGGGCAACCCUGAUCCAGCCAUGCCGCGUGAGUGAUGAAGGCCUUCGGGUUGUAAAGCUCUUUUGGCGGGGACGAUGAUGACGGUACCCGCAGAAUAAGCCCCGGCUAACUUCGUGCCAGCAGCCGCGGUAAGACGAAGGGGGCUAGCGUUGUUCGGAAUUACUGGGCGUAAAGCGAGUGUAGGCGGUUGUCAUAGUCAGGUGUGAAAGCCUUGAGCUCAACUCAAGAAAUGCACUUGAUACUGGGCGACUAGAGGACCGGAGAGGAUAGUGGAAUUCCCAGU
This 537-nucleotide ribosomal RNA is filed under the name uncultured bacterium. RNAcentral's name for it is "bacterial SSU rRNA". It matches the Rfam family "Bacterial small subunit ribosomal RNA", at positions 102 to 674 of the family's 1533-position model. The record is from RNAcentral.